RNAcentral lists this ribosomal RNA (510 nucleotides) under uncultured bacterium. RNAcentral describes it as "partial 16S ribosomal RNA". It matches the Rfam family "Bacterial small subunit ribosomal RNA", at positions 28 to 507 of the family's 1533-position model. The record is from RNAcentral.
GACGAACGCUGGCGGCGUGCUUAACACAUGCAAGUCGAACGAAGAGCGAUGGAAGCUUGCUUCUAUCAAUCUUAGUGGCGCACGGGUGAGUAACGCGUAAUCAACCUGCCCUUCAGAGGGGGACAACAGUUGGAAACGACUGCUAAUACCGCAUACGAACUAACCUCGGCAUCGAGGAUAGAUGAAAGGUUGCCUCUACAUGUAAGCUAUCACUGAAGGAGGGGAGUGCGUCUGAUUAGCUAGUUGGAGGGGUAACGGCCCACCAAGGCGAUGAUCAGUAGCCGGUCUGAGAGGAUGAACGGCCAAAUUGGGACUGGGACACGGCCCAGACUCCUACGGGAGGCAGCAGUGGGGAAUCUUCCGCAAUGGACGAAAGUCUGACGGAGCAACGCCGCGUGAGGGAUGACGGCCUUCGGGUUGGAAAGCUCUGUUAAUCGGGACGAAAGGCCUUCUUGCGAAUAGUGAGAAGGAUUGACGGUACCGGAAGAGAAAGCCACGGCUAACUACGUG